This 375-nucleotide ribosomal RNA is filed under the name uncultured eukaryote. RNAcentral's name for it is "partial 18S ribosomal RNA". It matches the Rfam family "Eukaryotic small subunit ribosomal RNA", at positions 592 to 976 of the family's 1831-position model. The record is from RNAcentral.
CAAUAGCGUAUAUUUAAGUUGUUGCAGGUAAAAAGCUCGUAGUUGGAUUUCGGUUAAGAGCGACCGGUCCGCCGUUUGGUGUGCACUGGUUGGUUUUAACUUCCUGUAGAGGACGUGCUCUGGGUUUAACGACCUGGACUCGGAGUCUACGUGGUUACUUUGAAAAAAUUAGAGUGUUCAAAGCGGGCUUACGCUUGAAUAUUUCAGCAUGGAAUAACACUAUAGGACUCCUGUCCUAUUUCGUUGGUCUCGGGACGGGAGUAAUGAUUAAGAGGAACAGUUGGGGGCAUUCGUAUUUCAUUGUCAGAGGUGAAAUUCUUGGAUUUAUGAAAGACGAACUUCUGCGAAAGCAUUUGCCAAGGAUGUUUUCAUUAA